RNAcentral lists this ribosomal RNA (784 nucleotides) under Streptomyces sp. Its description in RNAcentral is "bacterial SSU rRNA". It matches the Rfam family "Bacterial small subunit ribosomal RNA", at positions 67 to 859 of the family's 1533-position model. The record is from RNAcentral. Lineage: Bacteria; Bacillati; Actinomycetota; Actinomycetes; Kitasatosporales; Streptomycetaceae.
CGAUGAAGCCGCUUCGGUGGUGGAUUAGUGGCGAACGGGUGAGUAACACGUGGGCAAUCUGCCCUGCACUCUGGGACAAGCCCUGGAAACGGGGUCUAAUACCGGAUACGAUCACCGGCCGCAUGGUCUGGUGGUGGAAAGCUCCGGCGGUGCAGGAUGAGCCCGCGGCCUAUCAGCUUGUUGGUGGGGUGAUGGCCUACCAAGGCGACGACGGGUAGCCGGCCUGAGAGGGCGACCGGCCACACUGGGACUGAGACACGGCCCAGACUCCUACGGGAGGCAGCAGUGGGGAAUAUUGCACAAUGGGCGAAAGCCUGAUGCAGCGACGCCGCGUGAGGGAUGACGGCCUUCGGGUUGUAAACCUCUUUCAGCAGGGAAGAAGCCUUCACGGGUGACGGUACCUGCAGAAGAAGCACCGGCUAACUACGUGCCAGCAGCCGCGGUAAUACGUAGGGUGCGAGCGUUGUCCGGAAUUAUUGGGCGUAAAGAGCUCGUAGGCGGCGUGUCACGUCGGAUGUGAAAGCCCGGGGCUUAACCCCGGGUCUGCAUUCGAUACGGGCAGGCUAGAGUUCGGUAGGGGAGAUCGGAAUUCCUGGUGUAGCGGUGAAAUGCGCAGAUAUCAGGAGGAACACCGGUGGCGAAGGCGGAUCUCUGGGCCGAUACUGACGCUGAGGAGCGAAAGCGUGGGGAGCGAACAGGAUUAGAUACCCUGGUAGUCCACGCCGUAAACGUUGGGAACUAGGUGUGGGCGACAUUCCACGUCGUCCGUGCCGCAGCUAACGCA